AAAUAUGUGAAAAAUUCAAAAUUUUCGUACCACAUUUUCGUCGUUAGGUUUUACCUUUUCGGCAAUACAGACAGCGGUGUCAGGAGAUACAUUUUCUCACAUCAGCGUCAUUCUAAAUUUUUGUAUUAAAAAUUCUUUAAAUAUUAAAUCAUUAGCAACUGUUUUUAAUAUGAUUCCAAAUUAAUUGUGUAUAACACUUUAACCUAACAAAAUAAAAUAAAUAAAUAAAUAUGGCAAAACUGAAGAAAAAGCAUUUCUCAUACAAGUCCAAAAAGAAGAUGAGAGGUAUAUCCGCUCGUCUUUUGAAGCUUGCACAACCAAAGAAAGUAGUUGACACCCAUUUGAAAGAAAAUCCAUUCAGUGUCAAGAGAAGUGCAUUAGAAUAUACUGCUUCUGACCGAAUUUGUCAAAUGGCGAAACCUAAGAAAUAUGAAGACUUUCACACUCGCACAGAUUGUUUUACUGUGACAAAAGGAGCUUUACAAGCAACAGCCACUCCACGGUUAAUACAACUAGCAAUACCAAAAUAUUCGGACAGAUUUGCCUUUUACUUUUGAAAUUGACUUAAUUGAAUCCAAAACAAAGAAGUGAAGAUCCCAACAAUAUUCCAAUUAAAAUGCAAUAAAGUUAAAAUUAGAAAAAUUAUGCAAUAAACUGCAACACCGCGAAAACAGCUCUAAAAACCUUGGUAGGGCCGUGACGAAGGUAGAAUAGCGACAAAAUGCCAGAGAAACCAAAGCAGAAAACUGCGUGGACCAUUAAAAGGGACAAAAUGCUUCGCUAUAAAGCUUCUGAACGGACUAUUAACUUAGCAAAAGCAAGGUAUACAUCAGUGCGUUUCAAAGAUCAACCAAAGGAUACGACCUUUGACGUAAAAAAGAAUGCAUUGAAAGCUAAAGCUUCGGAACGCACCAUCGAACUUGCAAAACCAAAAUUCGUCACUCCUAAAUACGUAAAUCCCAAUGCAAAGGCGAAAUGAUCAAUAUAUAUCACUUUAUUCGGUGAAUAUAUAACUUUAUUCGGUGAAUAACAAUCAAGUAUAGGAUGGAGCAGAUUAACAUGCCUACGCUCAGCAUUGGUAACAUCUACAGAAAAUGUCGGUGGAUAGGAAUGGAUUUCGUUAAAAAAUGUCAAAAUGAUAUAACCAUAUCCCGAAUGUUAUAAUCAUAUAACGGCUAUCUAGAAAUCUGUUUCACAGCCAAGUACUGUAUUUUUGGCGUGCAAGUUAAAUCCUGUUGUGCUGUUUUGUUAUAUUAAGGAAGAUCGAGCGUCCAGAAAUUUUGAUCAAUCUUAAAAGGAUACACAGAUGUUGUGGGUAAUAUAUCUAUGUAUAAUCCUGCUAUUUAAUUUCGAUCAAUUACCUAUAUCACCAACAUAAAGGAUUUACAGUAUCUAUUUCUUAUAUUUUACCUAUAACGUGGAGGUUAAAACCUGUUGUGAUGUUUGUGAUAUUAAGGAAGAUCGAGUAUCCAGAAAUUUAUUUCAUACUCAAAAAAGAAUACACGGAUGUAGGCGGUAAAAUAUUUACAAAUAGUCCUUCUUCUGGAUUGGGUUCUGGUGUCUAUAUCACCAAUGGAUGUGUAGUAGUCUAUUUCCUGUAUUAUACUUUGGUGUGUAAGUCAAGUCCUGUGUCAUUCUUGUGAUAUUUAGGAAUAUCGAACGUCCAUAAAUAUAUCUACAAAAAAUUAGAAACGAAGUAAUUAAAUGGUGACUACAAUAUUUUUUGAAUACAGGAGAAACAAUCUAAGUUGUACAAUGGACCUGGCUUUCAAUCGUUACGAAACGAAACUAUUCAUGUUUUAAUAUAUUUUAUAUAAAUUUGUUUAGAGCGAAACAAAUAUAGUGCGGUGUUGCAGUUUAA
RNA transcript from Teleopsis dalmanni, 1861 nucleotides. It is a transcript of the gene named testicular haploid expressed gene protein-like, with no coding region annotated. NCBI's taxonomy places the organism in Eukaryota, Metazoa, Arthropoda, Insecta, Diptera, Diopsidae. The transcript is spliced from 10 exons. The record is from RefSeq and is a predicted model, not a curated record.